Molecule: ribosomal RNA, 396 nt
Filed under: uncultured bacterium
Lineage: Bacteria
Description: partial 16S ribosomal RNA
Rfam family: Bacterial small subunit ribosomal RNA
Source: RNAcentral
AUACGUAGGGUGCAAGCGUUAAUCGGAAUUACUGGGCGUAAAGCGCGCGUAGGUGGUUUUGUAAGUUGGAGGUGAAAGCCCCGGGCUCAACCUGGGAAUUGCCUCCAAAACUGCAUGACUAGAGUACGGUAGAGGGUAGUGGAAUUUCCUGUGUAGCGGUGAAAUGCGUAGAUAUAGGAAGGAACACCAGUGGCGAAGGCGACUACCUGGACUGAUACUGACACUGAGGGGCGAAAGCGUGGGGAGCAAACAGGAUUAGAUACCCUGGUAGUCCACGCCGUAAACGAUGUCAACUAGCCGUUGGGAUCCUUGAGAUCUUAGUGGCGCAGCUAACGCAUUAAGUUGACCGCCUGGGGAGUACGGCCGCAAGGUUAAAACUCAAAUGAAUUGGCGGGG